RNAcentral lists this ribosomal RNA (171 nucleotides) under Rhododendron shanii. RNAcentral's name for it is "4.5S ribosomal RNA". Lineage: Eukaryota; Viridiplantae; Streptophyta; Magnoliopsida; Ericales; Ericaceae. The record is from RNAcentral.
AGGUCACGGCGAGACGAGCCGUUUAUCAUUACGAUAGGUGUCAAGUGGAAGAUAGCCUUCAACAAAAAAAAGUGGAAGGUGGCCUUCAACAAAAAAAAAGUGGAAGGUGGCCUUCAACAAAAAAAAGUGGAAGGUGGCCUUCAACAAAAAAAAAGUGGAAGGUGGCAGUAA